GACGAACGCUGGCGGCGUGCUUAACACAUGCAAGUCGAGCGGUAAGGCCCUUUCGGGGGUACACGAGCGGCGAACGGGUGAGUAACACGUGGGUGACCUGCCCUCAGCUCUGGGAUAAGCCUGGGAAACCGGGUCUAAUACUGGAUAUGACUCCAUGACGCAUGUUGGUGGGGUGGAAAGCCUUGUGCGGCUGAGGAUGGGCCCGCGGCCUAUCAGCUUGUUGGUGGGGUGAGGCCUACCAAGGCGACGACGGGUAGCCGGCCUGAGAGGGCGACCGGCCACACUGGGACUGAGACACGGCCCAGACUCCUACGGGAGGCAGCAGUGGGGAAUCUUGCGCAAUGGGCGAAAGCCUGACGCAGCGACGCCGCGUGAGGGAUGACGGCC
RNAcentral lists this ribosomal RNA (387 nucleotides) under uncultured bacterium. RNAcentral's name for it is "bacterial SSU rRNA". It matches the Rfam family "Bacterial small subunit ribosomal RNA", at positions 28 to 416 of the family's 1533-position model. The record is from RNAcentral.